This 1513-nucleotide long non-coding RNA is filed under the name Cyanistes caeruleus (blue tit). RNAcentral's name for it is "lncRNA (ENSCCEG00000017417.1)". The record is from RNAcentral. Lineage: Eukaryota; Metazoa; Chordata; Aves; Passeriformes; Paridae.
GGACAAGACCUUGUUAAUGUUUUGAGCAAGGGGCAAAACUACAGGGAGUUAAAAUCAUUAAGAACUACAAACAUACUCCCCACAAAAAAAAAAAAAAAAAGAAGAGGGAGAAGGCUCAGAAGAAACUCACUGUGCUGCAGCUUCAGAAAAAGCUUACAACUACCAUGAGACUGAAAUUCUUAUGAGACCGUGUCAUUAACUCAUGGACUUCUCUGUGUUUCUGCUUUGCUGAAUGUCUCUGUAAAGCAGUAUGUAACCUAUAACAUCUGAGAACAAAUCAAACUGACAACCCAAGCAGCAGUGAAACUAGAUCAGCCUGUUUGUUAUUCCAUGGCUAGUCAUGAGAGAAACGUGGGGCUUGUUUCACAAAUUGAAACAUCCCAAAUUAUCAGCAGGCCUGUGACCACUCUGCAUUUUUGUUUUUUAUUGGCAGUUAACUGAAGCCAAACAGGACCAGACCAAGCCUGUUACUUCAUCUCUGCUUGACUGGAAAUGUUGCUGUGUCUGAUUGUGCUCCUGGAAAUAUCAGACAUGGCUUUGUAUUGGAGGAUGCUGGAUCCAGAGGCAAUGAUUUCUUUACAGGCUCUGAGAUAUAAGAGCACAGUGUUUGUGGGGAGCCCAGUGAAUACACUGCUUGAGAUUUAGACUAACAGGAAUUCCCACAAGAACAGGAAGUUCCCUGGCAUUUUCCACUGUUACGACCUGAAACAAGGCAUGAAGAACAUGCAGAGUGUGUAUUAUAGCCUCUCUUCAGAGAUGUGUCUCACUGUCUAAUACUUAUGGCAAAGAAGUCUCAUGUGAGGAGAGUUAUAUUAAACAACUCUCCAGACAAGCACUAGAGAAAGAUGCAAUUCAAGAUCCGUUUUCUUCUUGCAUAUGGGAAAAGGGCAGGACUUUUUCAUUGUCACAGAAAGCUCAAGGUGUACAGUGUAAUAUACUAGAACAACUUCAGGGCUGCUCUCAAGGCUAAGAACUAUUGUUUGGCCUCCACAUUAAACUGAAUCCCCACACUGGGGAAGAAAGAGUGGAAAAUAUCAUAUGGAAAAAUGCUGUGUAAGAGUGAGCAAGAGAUACUGUACCUGUCUGGAUUUAUAAAACAAGAAAACAAUCUGCAUAAUGGCAUUGACUUUCAUUCUAAGGGACAAUGAAAAAACAGAAGGAAGAUUUAGAACAAAACAAAGCAGGCUAUGGAAAAGCUGCAAGCAGUCUAUUACAGAGUAUUUAUGCAGUAGAAUAUUAUUUGUCAGCAUUUUAUGAAGAAAAAAAUUUCCAUUUUGAAAAUAACAGUAAUGAUUAAGCUUUAAGAGAAAAAAGUUUCAAAUUUAGUCAGUGAAAAAAAAAUCAGUGAUUCUUUAUUCUAGAUAAGAUGAAAAGAAUAUGAGCUCAGUAACACCACUGGAGAUCAAGUAUUGCAAAAUAGUGAAAUGCAAAAUAGCAGGUGACAUACACCUGCUGAAGAUUCAAUUUUGAAGUUAACCUGGGUGCAAUAAAAAGAUGAGAUGGAUAUACGUCA